CAGGGGUUUCCGCUUUCGGUUCUUCCUCAUUUUCUCUUGCUGCCGCAAUGUAAGAAGAGCCAUACGCCUCCCGCCAUGAUUCUGAGACCUCCACAGCGAUGUGGAACUUGCCGAAUAAUAUUUCAUUUUCUGGAUAUACCUCACUUUAUCUACUUGCUACAGAAGGGCAUCCUGCUUACUUUAAAGUUUUGGCAAUUAGGAAUAAAGCUGCUAUAAGCAUCCAGGGAAGUUUUGUGGCCUUGAGGAAGAUGAAGUCAGCAAUGAGAUGAACCUACAGAAACCUUUCUCCUCAAAAAUGCCAGUCACCCCAACCUUCAGCAGCCAGCACCCUGACCAGGCAGUGGUCAUCAACAUUGAAGCAAGACUUUCCACUAGCAAAAAGAUUACAACUUGUUGAAGGCUCAGAUGAUUCUUAGCAUUUUUUAGCAACAAAAAAUUU
Molecule: long non-coding RNA, 439 nt
Filed under: Homo sapiens (human)
Lineage: Eukaryota; Metazoa; Chordata; Mammalia; Primates; Hominidae
Description: HSALNT0070894
Source: RNAcentral